CACCAUUUCUGCUUUAGAUUUAAGACAAUGUUGAGCGAGUCAAGCACGUCGCGCUCACGUUAAGAUGUUUCAUUGGUUGAUGAAACACGGACACGUUUACUAAUCAAAUACUCCGAGAACAUCGAACAUGCCACAUCAUGUCGAAACUUGAUAUGAUAACAGCCAUCAAUUAAUAAUAUCCUGAUCGGUACACGCGUCAUGAUGCAUGUUAAGUUUGUGCCACGAGUACCAGAUGGUAGUCGCAACUAGAACAAAACACGCAACCUUGAGCCACCAAACGACGAUGAGGUGGUUUGGUGAUGGCAAUUUUGAUGGCCGAUGGGGAGGAUCCAAGGAAAGAAUGCAAAGGAGCAGUCGUCCAACACCUCUAUACAACAGCUGUGUCAAAAGUCGAUUGAAAUCCAGCAUUGUAUAUGUUGUCUCAGGUAUUUUGCAGACUGAUGCAACAGGAGUAGCGUUUCAGAGAUGGAAGCUGUUUCAACUUCAGGUUCAGUGGUGAUUGGCACAUCCUGAUACUUUCAACAGGAGCCAGAUGUGUUAUUUUUAUCCUCUUCUUACUAUAAUAUAGCUAGUAUGUAUGGUGAGGUUUUCGUAUUUCUGAAAUCCUUAUUCUGAUUCCUAUUGUAUCCUGACGUUAUUGUUA
Molecule: long non-coding RNA, 643 nt
Organism: Phoenix dactylifera (date palm)
Lineage: Eukaryota; Viridiplantae; Streptophyta; Magnoliopsida; Arecales; Arecaceae
Source: RefSeq, a predicted model, not a curated record